AGGCUGAGCUGUGAUGGGGAGAAGACAUUGUGUCUUCGAGUCGUUGAUUUCACACUGCCGAGAAAAGCCUCUAGAUAGAAAAUAGGUGCCCGUACCGCAAACCGACACAGGUAGUCAAGAUGAGAAUUCUAAGGUGAGCGAGCGAACUCUCGUUAAGGAACUCGGCAAAAUGACCCCGUAACUUCGGGAGAAGGGGUGCUCUUUAGGGUUAACGCCCAGAAGAGCCGCAGUGAAUAGGCCCAAGCGACUGUUUAUCAAAAACACAGGUCUCUGCUAAACCGUAAGGUGAUGUAUAGGGGCUGACGCCUGCCCGGUGCUGGAAGGUUAAGAGGAGUGGAUAGCUUCUGCGAAGCUACGAAUCGAAGCCCCAGUAAACGGCGGCCGUAACUAUAACGGUCCUAAGGUAGCGAAAUUCCUUGUCGGGUAAGUUCCGACCCGCACGAAAGGCGUAACGAUUUGGGCACUGUCUCAACGAGAGGCUCGGUGAAAUCAUAGUACCUGUGAAGAUGCAGGUUACCCGCGACAGGACGGAAAGACCCCGUGGAGCUUUACUGUAGCCUGAUAUUGAAAUUCGGCACAGCUUGUACAGGAUAGGUA
This is a ribosomal RNA of 597 nucleotides. It matches the Rfam family "Bacterial large subunit ribosomal RNA", at positions 1553 to 2149 of the family's 2925-position model.